RNAcentral lists this ribosomal RNA (504 nucleotides) under uncultured bacterium. RNAcentral describes it as "partial 16S ribosomal RNA". It matches the Rfam family "Bacterial small subunit ribosomal RNA", at positions 30 to 523 of the family's 1533-position model. The record is from RNAcentral.
AUUGAACGCUGGCGGCAGGCCUAACACAUGCAAGUCGAACGGUAGCACAGAGAGCUUGCUCUCGGGUGACGAGUGGCGGACGGGUGAGUAACGUCUGGGAAACUGCCCGAUGGAGGGGGAUAACUACUGGAAACGGUAGCUAAUACCGCAUAACGUCGCAAGACCAAAGUGGGGGACCUUCGGGCCUCACACCAUCGGAUGUGCCCAGAUGGGAUUAGCUAGUAGGUGGGGUAAUGGCUCACCUAGGCGACGAUCCCUAGCUGGUCUGAGAGGAUGACCAGCCACACUGGACAUGAGACACGGUCCAGACUCCUACGGGAGGCAGCAGUGGGGAAUAUUGCACAAUGGGCGCAAGCCUGAUGCAGCCAUGCCGCGUGUAUGAAGAAGGCCUUCGGGUUGUAAAGUACUUUCAGCGGGGAGGAAGGCGGUGAAGUUAAUAACUUCACCGAUUGACGUUACCCGCAGAAGAAGCACCGGCUAACUCCGUGCCAGCCGCCGCGGUAA